RNAcentral lists this ribosomal RNA (253 nucleotides) under uncultured bacterium. RNAcentral describes it as "partial 16S ribosomal RNA". It matches the Rfam family "Bacterial small subunit ribosomal RNA", at positions 524 to 776 of the family's 1533-position model. The record is from RNAcentral.
UACGUAGGGAGCAAGCGUUGUCCGGAAUCAUUGGGCGUAAAGCGCGCGUAGGUGGCCUCAUAAGUCCGCUGUGAAAGUCAAAGGCUCAACCUUUGAAAGCCGGUGGAUACUGUGAGGCUAGAGUACGGAAGAGGCGAGUGGAAUUCCUGGUGUAGCGGUGGAAUGCGCAGAUAUCAGGAGGAACACCAAUAGCGAAGGCAGCUCGCUGGGACGUUACUGACACUGAGACACGAAAGCCAGGGGAGCGAACGGG